RNAcentral lists this long non-coding RNA (1392 nucleotides) under Equus caballus (horse). RNAcentral describes it as "lncRNA (ENSECAG00000051287.1)". The record is from RNAcentral. Lineage: Eukaryota; Metazoa; Chordata; Mammalia; Perissodactyla; Equidae.
AACAAGAGCACAGAACCAGACCACAUCCUUGAGGACUGGGGUGUAUUUUCCCCCAGUCAGGAGGAGUUUUCCUACCAUCAAUCAUCCUAAAAGAGGUUAAAGCAGAGAGACGGUGUGAGGAGGGUGGCUGGUGUGAAAGUUGGGUAGAGGGGAAACGUCUCCUUCUGGGAAGAGGCAUUUGCUGCGUGAAGAGGACUGAGAAUCCUAGAGUGGUUCAAAUGGUGGGGUGUGAGCUGCUCCUGGCCAGAGGAGACCAGCUGAAAGUAAGGCAAAGAAUGCGCCUUUAAGUGCACAGGUGUGAGCAUAAGUCGGACAGUGGGUGUUAGGAAUUCUCCGACUGAAAGCCCUCUUCUUUUAUCCAUGAUGCAUCCGUAAAGCCUAAGCAAGAAUUAUUAUGGGCUCAGGGGUGUUGUGGAUCACUAAGGAAGGCCUGGUGCAUGCAUUUUAGGAAGGAAUGAUACAAGUGAGAGGAGUUCCUCCUCCCCGGAGCCUGGAGAAGAGAGUGAGCGUGCGGUAAGGAGGGGGCAGGUGGGGAGCCACAGAGGUGGGCAAUGCAGGAGCACCAGGCGGAGAAGCUGUCUUGUCAGGAAGGCAGAAGCAGCCUGAGGAUCAAACGAAGAGACUGAGCAGAAGAAACUGAGGAGUCUGUGCCUGAACAGUCACCUCUGAAAUCUAUCCACCAUUCUCUUAGGAAGUGCAAACCAGCCAUGCGAAAAUAUCACAUAGAGGUCCUGAGCAUCCAUCAGCAGCAACCACUAGACUUGUGAGUGGAUGAGCCUUCAGAUGAGCACAGACCCAGCCUUCAAGUCUUCCAGCUGAGGCCUCAGACAUCAUGGAGGAGAGACAAGCCAUCCACAUCUGAAUGCCUGACCCACAAAUCCAUGAGCAGAAUAAAUGGUUGUUUUGAUAUAAUUUGUAACAAAGAUAUAGUAACUGGAACACUCAAUUUCCUCAUCUGGAAAAAUAGAAUAAGAACAGUAUUUGGAGGGUUGUUUUGAGGAUUAAAUGAGGCAUGUAAAGCAUUUGGUAUAGUGGCAGGCACACUGCAGAUAACAAAUAAAUGGAAAUUACUACGACCAUGUUAACAGACUGUCGUCUCUGCUACAGCCCAACAUCAGUUUGCCUCCUCUUUCCAACUCCCUGGUAGAAAAGUCAAGCCCCAUUCUGAAGCUGCACCCCUAGAAAUAUUCCAGAACUAAAGCAGCCUCUCAUUUAUGUGGAGCUAGACUAGCUAGCAGUCUAUAUCCCUAAUCCCUUCCAGUAAACUUGAACUCUGAAGGUAGGAAUUAACAGAGAUGAAGGGAGUGGAGGGAACAGUCAAGAGUGGACAAAGUAGACAAAAACUCCUUUGCGAUGAACCUGCUCUCUAAGUUUCUUCUGUUGCCACUUAGG